This 440-nucleotide ribosomal RNA is filed under the name uncultured bacterium. RNAcentral describes it as "partial 16S ribosomal RNA". It matches the Rfam family "Bacterial small subunit ribosomal RNA", at positions 338 to 795 of the family's 1533-position model. The record is from RNAcentral.
CCUACGGGAGUCAGCAGUAGGGAAUAUUGCUCAAUGGGGGAAACCCUGAAGCAGCAACGCCGCGUGGAGGAUGAAGGUUUUCGGAUUGUAAACUCCUUUUGUUAGAGAAGAUAAUGACGGUAUCUAACGAAUAAGCACCGGCUAACUCCGUGCCAGCAGCCGCGGUAAUACGGAGGGUGCAAGCGUUACUCGGAAUCACUGGGCGGAAAGAGCGCGUAGGCGGGAUAGCAAGUCAGAUGUGAAAUCCUAUGGCUUAACCAUAGAACUGCAUGUGAAACUGUUAUUCUAGAGUAUGGGAGAGGUAGGUGGAAUUCUUGGUGUAGGGGUAAAAUCCGUAGAGAUCAAGAGGAAUACUCAUUGCGAAGGCGACCUGCUAGAACAUAACUGACGCUGAUGCGCGAAAGCGUGGGGAGCAAACAGGAUGAGAUACCCCUGUAGUC